This 195-nucleotide ribosomal RNA is filed under the name Cupriavidus sp. Its description in RNAcentral is "partial 16S ribosomal RNA". It matches the Rfam family "Bacterial small subunit ribosomal RNA", at positions 1136 to 1330 of the family's 1533-position model. The record is from RNAcentral. Lineage: Bacteria; Pseudomonadati; Pseudomonadota; Betaproteobacteria; Burkholderiales; Burkholderiaceae.
CACUCUAGAGAGACUGCCGGUGACAAACCGGAGGAAGGUGGGGAUGACGUCAAGUCCUCAUGGCCCUUAUGGGUAGGGCUUCACACGUCAUACAAUGGUGCGUACAGAGGGUUGCCAACCCGCGAGGGGGAGCUAAUCCCAGAAAACGCAUCGUAGUCCGGAUCGUAGUCUGCAACUCGACUACGUGAAGCUGGA